RNAcentral lists this ribosomal RNA (271 nucleotides) under uncultured archaeon. RNAcentral's name for it is "partial 16S ribosomal RNA". It matches the Rfam family "Bacterial small subunit ribosomal RNA", at positions 524 to 794 of the family's 1533-position model. The record is from RNAcentral.
UACAGAGGGUGCAAGCGUUGUUCGGAAUUAUUGGGCGUAAAGGGCGCGUAGGCGGCCAUUCAAGUGACGGGUGAAAGCCCUCGGCUUAACCGAGGAACUGCCUGUCAGGCUGGAUGGCUUGAGACCGGGAGAGGUGAGUGGAAUUCCCAGUGUAGCGGUGAAAUGCGUAGAUAUUGGGAGGAACACCAGUGGCGAAGGCGGCUCACUGGACCGGAACUGACGCUGAGGCGCGAAAGCUAGGGGAGCAAACAGGAUUAGAAACCCCAGUAGU